UCUAGAUAAACCAGUGCACGGUUUGCUUCUUUUAAAAUAGAUGAGUCUCUAAUCUAUGGUGUAAAAAUACUGAGCAGAAAGUGCGGAUAGUUGUUAGAGAACAACUAGUACUGAGCAUGACCGUACGAGAGAUCACAUAGAUUUCUAUCCAAUCGUCAGUGAUCAUCUCGAUACUGUAGUUGUGUGACUGAUUCUUUGACCUGUGGUAUCAUAGUUGCUCACAGUAAAACUGCUAAAAUUUGACUAUGCAUAAAUAUUAACUCGAUUAUGAGUUUUUAUAGUGGAUGUUGGCAAAAUUGGUUGAGCUAUGCGAGCGAUGUGUGCAUCUAGAUGGGAUCUAUCGACCUUGAUAGAGAGAAAUAGUCCUAUGAGAUUUGAGAAGCUA
RNAcentral lists this long non-coding RNA (385 nucleotides) under Elaeis guineensis (African oil palm). RNAcentral's name for it is "long non-coding RNA (EGUI_LNC054818)". The record is from RNAcentral. Lineage: Eukaryota; Viridiplantae; Streptophyta; Magnoliopsida; Arecales; Arecaceae.